This 540-nucleotide ribosomal RNA is filed under the name uncultured bacterium. Its description in RNAcentral is "bacterial SSU rRNA". It matches the Rfam family "Bacterial small subunit ribosomal RNA", at positions 765 to 1304 of the family's 1533-position model. The record is from RNAcentral.
GGAGCAAACAGGAUUAGAUACCCUGGUAGUCCACGCCCUAAACUAUGUCAACUAGUUGUCGGGUCUUAUUAGACUUGGUAACGUAGCUAACGCGUGAAGUUGACCGCCUGGGGAGUACGGUCGCAAGAUUAAAACUCAAAGGAAUUGACGGGGACCCGCACAAGCGGUGGAUUAUGUGGAUUAAUUCGAUGCAACGCGAAAAACCUUACCUACCCUUGACAUGUCAGAAAAUUUUCAGAGAUGAAUUUUGUGCCCGAAAGGGAAUCUGAACACAGGUGCUGCAUGGCUGUCGUCAGCUCGUGUCGUGAGAUGUUGGGUUAAGUCCCGCAACGAGCGCAACCCUUGUCAUUAAUUGCCAUCAUUUAGUUGGGCACUUUAAUGAGACUGCCGGUGAUAAACCGGAGGAAGGUGGGGAUGACGUCAAGUCCUCAUGGCCCUUAUGGGUAGGGCUUCACACGUAAUACAAUGGCGCGUACAGAGGGUUGCCAACCCGCGAGGGGGAGCUAAUCUCAGAAAGCGCGUCGUAGUCCGGAUCGGAGU